UUGAGAACUGAAGGACAGAUGAAGAAUGUGCUAGCCAAAAUUUCCGCACUUCAUGUUGAGGCAUCAUGUUUGUCUCAAGUAGUUUUCAGGAGUGUCCUCCCAGAUAGCUUGAGAAAAUUUGCUCGCAGGCAAAACCUGGUAAGAAUGUUUAAGAAGAGGUAAAUAGUCCCGAUUUGGAUGAGACAAAAGUCAACCGAACCCAGU
This 204-nucleotide long non-coding RNA is filed under the name Numida meleagris (helmeted guineafowl). Its description in RNAcentral is "lncRNA (ENSNMEG00000021027.1)". Lineage: Eukaryota; Metazoa; Chordata; Aves; Galliformes; Numididae. The record is from RNAcentral.